This 825-nucleotide ribosomal RNA is filed under the name Triticum aestivum (bread wheat). RNAcentral describes it as "partial small subunit ribosomal RNA". The record is from RNAcentral. Lineage: Eukaryota; Viridiplantae; Streptophyta; Magnoliopsida; Poales; Poaceae.
AUGGGUCGACGAACCACCGAGAAAACCUUCAUCCGAAAAAUCGUCUUCUCAGAGGACCCUACCUCGAAAGGCUGCAUAAUGGCCGCCAUGACCACCGGAUGUGGGAUAGUGCUAUGCCGGCUUGGUUCCAAAGAUGACAGCAGAAGGGCGACUCAGGAAUGCAGCGCGAUGGACCCAUGUCCAACCUUCCUAGACAUUGCCUUCUGCAAUGGCGAACUCUACGGCAUCGCGAGUCAUGAACUGUUAUAUAGGUUUGUCAUCGGCCAAAACAAAUACGGCGCUCUGGUGGUCAGCUUGGUCGAACAAUUAACCACCGAAAGACCUAUCGACGCGUAUGAGUAUGGGGCAUUUCCUUAUGCCAAAUACAUUUUCGAGCUGCAUGGCAAAGUGGCAGUGGCGUUGGAUGUCUGGGUGUUAAGCGAUAAUGUCAAGUCACAAUCAUUUAAGGCACGAUUUUUUAGGGUGUUUGAGCUCAUCAAUAGCAAUACAACACAGGCACCUAAAUACACGUGGAAAGAGCUCACAAGCUUGGGUGAACACGCAUUGUUUCUGGGUCAAGGAUGUUGCAAGGCGGUGCAUGUGGCGGGCAUGGACGGUGUCAUGGAAGCGAACUAUAUCUACUACUCAUCUCCAUAUGAAUAUGACGAUGAGGAUCGAUUAACAAGGUUGGACCUCGGUAGUUGCUUUGUCUAUUGCUGGAAAAGCGAUGGCGUGCACCACUUGGAGAGGAUCAUGUCACACAGAUACCAUUACCAUGAGAAGGGUUCGGAGUGUGGUGGUAAAGGUUAUAAUAGUUGUACCUGGGUUCUUCCUCCACCCUUUUAG